RNAcentral lists this long non-coding RNA (283 nucleotides) under Vigna radiata. RNAcentral's name for it is "long non-coding RNA (VRAD_LNC007599)". Lineage: Eukaryota; Viridiplantae; Streptophyta; Magnoliopsida; Fabales; Fabaceae. The record is from RNAcentral.
GGAUUCAUGGUGGUGCCCUCAGUGUUUUAAAAUGAAAGUAGGGGCUCAGCCUUGGGAGUCAUUCUAACGCUCCAAUGGUCAAUCAUACUCACUUAGAGAGGUUGAACCAUGUGGUGAGGAGUAGCAGGAGGUCCUUAGUCUUGGGGGCUCCCAGUAUGCCUCAAGGCCCGGAACGGACUAACCUCAUGAGUGUGGCAGGGUGGGGAACCCAAGUUUCAUAAGUCACCAUGGGUGCAAGACUCGCCAUAGCCCGACUAUCAUUUUAAAGUUCGGACGAGUCAAG